CACAUCCAAGGAAGGCAGCAGGCGCGCAAAUUACCCAAUCCCGACACAGGGAGGUAGUGAGAAGAAAUAACAAUACCGUGCUCUCAUGAGUGUGGUAAUUGGAAUGAGUACAAUUUAAACCUCUUAACGAGGAUCCAAUGGAGGGCAAGUCUGGUGCCAGCAGCCGCGGUAAUACCAGCUCCAUUAGUGUAUGUUAAAGUUGUUGCAGUUAAAAAGCUCGUAGUUGGAUUUCUGGUUCAUGUAGCCUGGCCCGAGGACCACCAUGUUCUUGUGUGCCGGUUUGGGCGCCUCUGUUGCCUUGUUUGUUUUGUCUGCCCCCGCUUGCGGGAGUGCGGACCUUACUUGUGUGACGAGGUUUUGCCUUGCUGCAUAACCAUCCUUCAGGAGAAACGGUCUACUCUUCAUUGAGCCGGGCCGCGGACCCUGAUCGUUUACUUUGAAAAAAUUAGAGUGUUCAAAGCAGGCAUUGUUGCUGUGAAUAUCUUAGCAUGGAAUAAUAAGAUAGGACUUUGGCCCAGCUGACCGUUUGUGUCGGUCUCGCGACUGACGCCGGUCGGUUCUAUUUUGUUGGUUAUAGAGCCAAAGUAAUGAUUGAUAGGGAUAGUUGGGGGUGCUAGUAUUGCCGAGCCAGAGGUGAAAUUCUUGGAUUCUGGCAAGACUAACUUAUGCGAAAGC
Molecule: ribosomal RNA, 675 nt
Filed under: uncultured eukaryote
Lineage: Eukaryota
Description: SSU rRNA
Rfam family: Eukaryotic small subunit ribosomal RNA
Source: RNAcentral